AUCUUAUUAGAGUUCGCUGCGUGGAGUAAAACCGCGAGUAUCUUUUCCACCAAUAACGGUGCUUUUGUAUUCCUCUUGAAAAAUCAAACGACGUUAUUAUACCACGCAGAAGGCUCGAAACUUUAUCGUCGCGGACUUGAGUAGAAGAGAGAACUCUGAACGUCAGAAGGGAAUUCAAUCUUCGGGAGAACGAAUGAACGAAAUUAAAAAACGAAGGAUAUUAUUCGAAACGUGUGAAAUGUGAAUUUUUAAAUAUUGCUAGCAGCAAGUCUGGACCAUGGGUAUGGUAGGUGG
RNAcentral lists this unclassified non-coding RNA (294 nucleotides) under Athalia rosae (coleseed sawfly). Its description in RNAcentral is "misc RNA ENSAEAG00005007797.1". Lineage: Eukaryota; Metazoa; Arthropoda; Insecta; Hymenoptera; Athaliidae. The record is from RNAcentral.